UACGUAGGGUGCAAGCGUUGUCCGGAAUUAUUGGGCGUAAAGAGCUCGUAGGCGGUCUGUCACGUCGGCUGUGAAAACCCGGGGCUCAACCCCGGGCCUGCAGUCGAUACGGGCAGACUAGAGUGUGGUAGGGGAGACUGGAAUUCCUGGUGUAGCGGUGAAAUGCGCAGAUAUCAGGAGGAACACCGGUGGCGAAGGCGGGUCUCUGGGCUGAUACUGACGCUCAUGCACGAAAGCGUGGGGAGCGAACAGG
RNAcentral lists this ribosomal RNA (253 nucleotides) under uncultured bacterium. RNAcentral's name for it is "partial 16S ribosomal RNA". It matches the Rfam family "Bacterial small subunit ribosomal RNA", at positions 524 to 776 of the family's 1533-position model. The record is from RNAcentral.